This 4395-nucleotide long non-coding RNA is filed under the name Homo sapiens (human). Its description in RNAcentral is "HSALNT0285038". Lineage: Eukaryota; Metazoa; Chordata; Mammalia; Primates; Hominidae. The record is from RNAcentral.
CACAUUUUGUUUUUUUGAGCCCCCAGAUCUAAAUUGGUAAUCAUUCAGUUCGAGACCUGUAGAAAGAGUUGAGUUUGUAAAGUUUGUAGAUCUAAAAAGAAUGAAUACUUUGAUUUUCAUAAAUCAAAUACGUAUUUGUCCAUCUAAGUACAAACAGUCCAGAACACUUAUUAUCUGAAAUGGGAUAGUCCUUGGUGGAGAGCUUGGCAUUAUUCUCUCUAUGUGUGUAUAUAUAUACACACAUAUAUAUGCGUGUAUAUAUAUACACGCAUAUAUAUGCAUGUAUACACACUGAAUAGAUUAUAAAAUAUAUUUAUAUACAUGUGUACAUAUAUAUAAAUUAUUCAGUAGUUAUUCAUAAUAGAAUAAAUAGAUUUUACUGGGACUCUCAAUCCUUAACCAGCCACCUCUUGGUGCUUCUGGUUGAGGAAGUUUAUAUUAAUUCACUAAAUCAACAAAUAUUUGAGUUCUGGGACUGCUGGACCCCAAAAGAUAGAUGCAGCAGGGAGGGCAUUCCAUAUUAAACUAUGCAAUAAUUCUGUUGACCACAUACUGAAUAGCAGGACUACAAUUAUGCUAGCAUUUUCAAUUGUCAUUGCAAUAUGUAUUUUUUUUUAUCUAACAGUAUUUUAUGAUCUUUAACCUUAUGCCUGCCUCUCAUCUACUCACAUCAGCCUGGAUGCUACUUUCUUAUGCAGAUGCUCUUUCCCCUACAGAGCAUACUACUUCCCUUCCCUCUGUGUUUUACACUUUCAGGGUAGAUGACCAUCUGAUCUGUGAGGAUCCUGGGAUUUUGUUUUAAAGCCAGGCUGUUUAGUAAGUUUCUGAACAGAAAUUCAUGUGAAAUUUCCCCUUUUAAGAACUGUUUGUUGCUUUUCUCUGAUAUCUGAUUAACUUUGUGUUGAGAUAGCAUUUAGACAAAUAUUAGUUUACCUUCAUAUCUUUUUUAUAACUGUUUUACUUUCCAAUUUCUCUGUGAGAUGUGUCUUUAAAACCAAGUUUCACUAUGCCUUCUUAUUUUUUCAUCAAGGGUUGGUUUCUCAUUUGUAUAGUUUCUUUCCUAGAGAAGUCCCAUUUCAUUCAUUUCUAUCCUUAUUCUUCUUAAAUCCUGUGAUGGAGAACUCACUGCCUUAUAAGAUAUCUCACUGAAAUCUCAGAAAGUUCUAAUCAUUCAGAGUUUUAAAAUUAAUUAAUUAAUUGAUUUUUGCUUCUGUUGAGUUAAAAUCUGCCUCCCAGUAGUUUACACACAUUGGUCCUGGCUCUGCCCUGUGGAGUGGUACAGAACAGGUAUAAAAUAAUAAAAGUACCUUUCAUCCUUGACAGCUUAAAAUUGCCACAGCUUCUAUUCUGGUUCUUUCCCCUUCCAUUCUGUGAGACACACUAGGCAAUCUACUCAAUCUUCUGUGACUCAGCUUCCUCAUCUACAACAUUGGAGACAAUAAUAGUACCUACCUCAUAGAAUUGUAAGAGGAAUAACUGAGUCAAUGAGUCAACCUAUGUAAAGGAUCUGGAAUAGAGCCUAGCACAUAGAAAGCACUCUAUAAGCAUUAACUAUAAUAAUAGUAAUAAUAAUAGUAUGACACAGUGCUAACAAUACUACUAAUUAACAUCCUUUUAAUAUUAAGAUUAAUUGUGUACUUUAUGCCAGGCAUUGCACUAAGUAUUUUCAAUAUGCCAUCUCACAUAAUCCUUAAAGAAUUAUGUUCUCACCAAGACUUUUUUGGGGGGUUUAACCUCCCCAGUUAUUUCAGCCAUUUCUGAUGUGACAUAUUUUUUCAAAGUCAUUCAUUAUUCUACACAUUCCUGAAUGUGUAAAUGUCUCUGAAAACACUGAAUAUACUGCCUAGUGCAGAAUGGAGUGAUCUUACCACCUCCUUCAUUUUAGAAUAGGUGCUAUACAUCUAUGGAUGCAUCCUAAAAUUAUAGUAGAUUUUGUGAAUGCCAUAUCACACAAUUGAAUCCAGUUUAAGUUGCAGUCAACUAGACCCCUCCCUUAUUUCAUACUUCAAGCUGUUAAUCCACUUCUGUAAAUCUUUUUAGUUUUAACUCAAGUAUAGAAGCUUCUAAUUUUUUCUGGGUUAAAUUUUGUCUCAUUAGAUUCACUCCCUCAAUCUUUGAAUCCAGAUUCUAUCAUUCUGUAUAUUAGCUGCAAAUCAUUAAUUUAAAGCAUGCCACUAGUACUAAAUAGGGUGAUAAAGUCAGCAAACUCGGGAAAGAUCUAUAGGUAUCUCAGCAGAGAGUUCUGACUCCAACUAGUUCCCUUCCUCUCAUCUCUCAUGUGGCUUCUCAGAUUGCUUGCUUUCUAGUGCUGCUAAUAGAAGACACUAUAGUCCCUGAAAGCUCCUGCACCGGUAUAAAUUAAACUUUGAUGAGAACUUAGUAAAUAUGGAGGGCAGAUAAGGAGGUGUGAGGAAAUAGAAGCAGGAGAGGAGGAAUGAAGACCGAGUCUCCAUGUGGGCUCUAAGUCUGCCCAGCAGUAGCUGAUCUCGGGUUCCCUUAAGAGAAAGGACUCUCAAGAGGGAAUAAGGUAAAGGUGAUUCUGCUACCAAAUGACAAUCAUUUGUUACAAAGAAGUGUGAUCUGCUACUUGUUUGUGUAGGGUUGGGGUUGGGGUGGGGCUGUCCUUCUGAUGGAUUUGAUUUGAUACCCUUGAUUUAGGGUCCUAUGAGGGUAUAUUGCUUGGUCCAUUAUUACUAAUGAGUGUUUGUUUUGAAACCCAUUUCAAAAGUGUGACAACUGAGCUCUGGGAGGUGACAAAUUGUUCCCAUGGAAACACAGAUGAUAGUAAGUAGCUGAGAUGGGAUUUAAAACCUAAGGCUAGGUGCAGUGGCUCACGCCUGUAAUCCCAACACUUUGGGAGGCCAUGAUGGGAGAAUAGCUUGAGCCCAGGAAUUCAAGACCAGCCUGGGUAACAUAGUGAGAUCCUGUCUCUAGAAACGAUAAAAAUUAGCCAGGCAUGGUGGUGCACACCUGCGGUCCCAGGUGGUCCAGUUCCUUGGGAGGCCGAGGUUAGAGGCCUGGGAACUCAAGGCUUCAGUGAGCCGUGAUUGUGCCACUGUACUCCAGCCUGGCCAAUAAGAGAUUCCAUCUGAAAACAAAAGAAAACAAAAAAAACAAAACAUAGGCAGUGUGGCAUGAGAGAUUGUACCUUUAACCACUAUGUAAAACUGCUCCUGGGCAGUGGGCUCCACCCACAUUUACACACAGCACUGGGCAGCUGCUGCCAUGACAACAGUCUCCAAGUGGUGUGGCCUUUCUCUGGGGGAUCUGAGAAAGCCCAGGGUGGGUUUCUCCUCCAGGGAUUCCUGUUGCUGGGGAGGCUGCACUUCUGUGGCAGGAACAGAACCCUCCUUCUUUGCGAGUCCCCUUGGUUUCACUUUGCAGGCUCUGUCUGCCUGGACUUGAGGAGUUCUGCCCUCUCCAGCCCAGACGUUCCCUCUGUGGCUGCUGCCUCUGCAUUCUUUCCUAAUGGCACUAAUGGCAGUACCUGCUCUCAGACCUGGACCUGUUGACUGCAGCAGGCCCUGUCCAGCCUGUGACUCUCAUGGGCUCCUCCCCUACCCCUGCCCCAGGGGAAAUUCCCAAGUAGGAAAAGCAAUGACAGGAGCCUCCUCUUUUCUGUUUCUGCUUGUGGCCUCAUCCUAACUGGGGCUCAAACACACACACGCACACACGCACACACACACACACACACACACACACACACACACACCCUGUAUAUGCUCAGAGAAACAAGGAAGGGGCUCUGAGGAAAGGCUAAGUAGCAACUCAGGCUGUUGGAAAUGCACAGGGACAGGGAAGGUGGGUCCAGACCUGGGCUGAAGAGAGACAGUACUAGGCUUGGGUCUGGGCAAGACUUAUGCUGUCAUUCACUCCCUGGAGGCUCUGGAGGUGUGGCAGCCUCCUACCCCUCUCCUUGCCUCUAUUUGUAUCAUUUUUCUCCCUAAAUGGUGGGGGCGAGGGCUGUGGUAGAACCAUGAAUGAGGUCCCUUCUAGCUCUAGGAAGCAAUGAUUCCAUACUGCCCACCAUACUGAGGUGGGAGGGCCUUUGCUUACGAACACGAUUUGGCCUGAGUGGGGACCACCUGCGGACUGUGGCUGCUGCUGCAUUUCCCAGAAUCCAGACAAGCUCAGAGCACAUAACUCAUUCUAUUUUGGCCUUCCCUGCUGGGCUGCAACAGAGCCACAGCUUAGCCUUGGCCUUUCAGGGACUUUUACAAGCACCCAGAACAACCUCAGCCUGAGGCCUGGGAAGGAGGCUGGGACAGAGGCAGGGCUGGCUCCAUAAUUUGCAGGGCCCAGUGUAAAAGACAAUGCAAGGCCUCUAUUCAAAAAGCAAGAAAAAAAAGUACCAUUUUAGGUAAUAAAAUAUAAAGCGUUUUUUUCUCCUGUUGC